Molecule: unclassified non-coding RNA, 240 nt
Filed under: soil metagenome
Description: partial contains 5.8S ribosomal RNA, internal transcribed spacer 2, and large subunit ribosomal RNA
Source: RNAcentral
AACCUAGCACACCUGCGGUGUGUACCUGCGGAAGGAUCAUUACAACAAGGUUCCCUGGCCCUCGAAGCUUCGGCGGAGGGGCGCUACAGCCUGACUUUAUACCCACCCUUUGCCUAUGUGUACCCCUAUUGCUUCCCUCGGCGGGCUCGCCCGCCGACAGGAACCAACUAAACCCUUUGCAUUAUACAUUUAACACUUCCGAUACAAAACUAAAUUAUUACAACUUUCAGCAAUGGAUCU